Molecule: long non-coding RNA, 613 nt
Organism: Nerophis lumbriciformis (worm pipefish)
Lineage: Eukaryota; Metazoa; Chordata; Actinopteri; Syngnathiformes; Syngnathidae
Source: RefSeq, a predicted model, not a curated record
UAAUGAUUGAUGCACACUGCUACACUGUGUCACAGGAAAACAAGGUCCCUUUCAAGUUGGCAGUGUAACCACCCAAACAACUUUAUUCACCCUUUGAGUGAAUGCAGCCAAUGAGGAAUGCUACCAGCGCAGCAAUGCGUCCCCGAAGACGUAACAAUGGGUGUCAGCUGGCACGAAGCAAGAAGAGCCGCCAGAGACCGGAUAAAACGGAGGGCACUCGUCGGCCAAUGUUCCAGUACGGGAGGAACUAAGUCUAAGAGUAGGAAGAAGCAGAGCUUAUUCAAUCCCGUCCCUUUUAAAGCCAAUCUUGUUACGGGUGUACAGGGGAAGAAGACGGCACAGACAGCAGAGGAGUGUUACCAGUAGUGUGGAGCGAGAGGCGGAAGUGCAAGAGGGGCAAGGCUGGCUCGGAGGUCCGUGAGUAGGCGUGAGGUCAAGGCGCAGGAGAGAGGCGUCAAAUGUCCGUGUCCAGGCGGCGGGAGGUCGAGAUCCAAGAGGCAGCCAGGAAAGCAGAGGGAACACGGGGAGACGAGACGCACAGCUGGCGACGCGGUAACGGAGGUAUGCUGCUGGAAGGCGACAAGGGGGACACGAGACAAAUGAACACGGAGGG